UACGGAGGGAGCUAGCGUUGUUCGGAUUUACUGGGCGUAAAGCGCGCGUAGGCGGCUUUGUAAGUUAGGGGUGAAAGCCCGGUGCUUAACACCGGAAUUGCCUUUAAGACUGCAUCGCUUGAAUCCAGGAGAGGUGAGUGGAAUUCCGAGUGUAGAGGUGAAAUUCGUAGAUAUUCGGAAGAACACCAGUGGCGAAGGCGGCUCACUGGACUGGUAUUGACGCUGAGGUGCGACAGCGUGGGGAGCAAACAGG
Molecule: ribosomal RNA, 253 nt
Filed under: uncultured bacterium
Lineage: Bacteria
Description: partial 16S ribosomal RNA
Rfam family: Bacterial small subunit ribosomal RNA
Source: RNAcentral